UGUUAUAGGGUAAAGGCAGAAGCAGGAAGUCCAGCCGGGAAGCAUCACAGCUGUCCUAGGGAGGAGGACGCGGCCUGGACCAGGGCGGCUGCGGACCGGGUCGGCUGCUGGAACAGGUGUCUUUCCUGCCUCUUACCACUUGGUGGCAGCGUGUUGACCGAAGGAGAAUUGGAUCUCGUUCCCCAGUUUCCCAGGAGCAAAUCAUGGUUCCUGGAGAGCAAGUCAUCCAGUGCAUAGGAUUUAUCCAGAAGGCUGCGCAUCGGCAGUAGCCACGGGUCUGUGUCUGCAAGAGCAGCGCAUCCGGGUGCUGAGUGCUGUGGUUCCAGGGCUCCCUGAGUCUGGGGGAGUUCGCAGCAGAGGUGAUGUCUACGCUGAGCGGGGAUUUUCUGCAAUCACAUCAUUUGUGAACAAAGAAGUUUUAUUUCUUCCUUCCCAAUAUGUAUACUGGUGAUUUCCUUUUCCGGUCUUUUUGCUCUAGCGGGGACUCCCAGUUUGAGGCCUGAUGGGGUGGUGGGAGGGGACGUUCCUGCCUCUUCCUGAUCAUGGCUCCCUUCAGUUCUGCCUGCUGGGCCCUGAGUUGCUCUGGGAACCGCUGAGCACUGGCUCUGUAAGCCUCGGGCCCCCAUACCACUUUCCUGCGGGCCCUGCCCUGCCUGCCUGCCUGCCUCCAGGCCCCACAGCCCUGUGGAGCCGCCCAGUUGAGCAGUCCUGCCCCCUCCCUGCCACGCCCCCUCGGGGGUCCUCACUGCUCCCAGAUGAAAGCCCCUGUUGUCCCCAGAGGCUCUGUCUCCUUGGGGGACGUUCACCAGCUGCCUCUCAAAGGACCAUCUGAGACCAGACACUUCCGUGGCCUACGGCUUCCUCAAGGACUCUACAAGACACAGAAAUCCCUGCUGUCUCCACUGAAAAGAAAGGGAGUCCGUGACCAGGCCCCCCGCCGUGCUGGGCUGAGUGGACGGCACGGGAGACGGCCCACGGGAGACGGCCCACGGGAGAUGACCCACGGGAGACGACCCACGGACCAUUCUCGCUUUGCCUCCAGUGUCGCUCAAAGGGGACCUGCAUGAAGGAGACGUGGGGCUUUGGAGGUGCGGGAUUUCUUCUUACCUCUGUUCCCACUACUUACCUUCAGAAUAAAUCUCUAAGUCCGGUAUUAGCAAAUUCUUCACAGAUGUAGGCCACACAAAGCACCCUCAUUGUCUGUCAUAAAUAUAAUAUCUU
Pan troglodytes (chimpanzee) is the source of this 1221-nucleotide long non-coding RNA. RefSeq lists it as uncharacterized. NCBI's taxonomy places the organism in Eukaryota, Metazoa, Chordata, Mammalia, Primates, Hominidae. The record is from RefSeq and is a predicted model, not a curated record. The transcript is spliced from 4 exons.